AUCACUUCAAAUUUUCUACUGCAUAUUCAUUACCCAAUCACUUCAAAAUCAUCAUACUAAAUUACUAAUCAUUCCAUCAAGCAAAACAUUAUAAAGGGAAUAAUUUUUUUUCAAAUCAUGGGCAAUCAGAACCGGAAAAUACAGGGGAUUGGGGAAUAUCACAUUAUAAAUAGAACUUCUUACGGUGAAGACUGAAGAGGAAGCCGGCGAGCUGAAGACUGAACUUUGAAGUCUGAAGAGAAAACUGUUGAUGUUGGGGAAAAAAAAGAGAUCGAUGCCGCUGUUGAUGAAGAGUGAAGACUAAAGAGGAAACCGUUGAUAAUGGAAAUAAAGAGAGAGGGGCAGAGAGCUGUUGAUGAAGAGUAGAAGAAUGAACUCUGAAGUCUUAAGAGAAAACAGUUGGCCUGGAGGAAAAAACAAGAUCGCUGCCAUGGAUGAGAUCGCCUGUAGCUGUUGAAGAG
Molecule: long non-coding RNA, 461 nt
Filed under: Populus trichocarpa (black cottonwood)
Lineage: Eukaryota; Viridiplantae; Streptophyta; Magnoliopsida; Malpighiales; Salicaceae
Description: long non-coding RNA (PTRI_LNC002897)
Source: RNAcentral